RNAcentral lists this ribosomal RNA (522 nucleotides) under uncultured bacterium. RNAcentral describes it as "bacterial SSU rRNA". It matches the Rfam family "Bacterial small subunit ribosomal RNA", at positions 24 to 518 of the family's 1533-position model. The record is from RNAcentral.
UCAGGACGAACGCUGGCGGCGUGCCUAAUACAUGCAAGUCGAACGGUCUUUCUAUGGAAGCUUGCUUCCACUGAGAAGAUAGUGGCGAACGGGUGAGUAACACGUGGGUAACCUGCCCAUAAGAGGGGGGAGUAACAUCCGGAAACGGGUGCUAAUACCGCAUAGUUUUCUUGAUCGCAUGAUCGGGAAAGGAAAGACGGCCUUUGUGCUGUCGCUUAUGGAUGGACCCGCGGCGUAUUAGUUAGUUGGUGAGGUAACGGCUCACCAAGACGAUGAUACGUAGCCGACCUGAGAGGGUGAUCGGCCACAUUGGGACUGAGACACGGCCCAAACUCCUACGGGAGGCAGCAGUAGGGAAUCUUCCGCAAUGGACGAAAGUCUGACGGAGCAACGCCGCGUGAGUGAAGAAGGUUUUCGGAUCGUAAAACUCUGUUGUCAGAGAAGAACAAGUCGGAGAGUAACUGCUCCGGCCUUGACGGUAUCUGACCAGAAAGCCACGGCUAACUACGUGCCAGCCGCCGC